Long non-coding RNA from Xenopus laevis (African clawed frog), 756 nucleotides. RefSeq lists it as uncharacterized. Lineage: Eukaryota; Metazoa; Chordata; Amphibia; Anura; Pipidae. The transcript has 3 exons. The record is from RefSeq and is a predicted model, not a curated record.
UGCUAUACCUGUAUAUAUAUAUAUAUAUAUAUAUAUAUAUAUAGCAAGUCCAAAAGCUGGAGCACACUUUUAUAUAAAGGCAACUGCCCAGGUGCUGGUUAAAUUACUAACUUGUAUAUAUCUCCAUACAAACCGCACACAUAGGACUUGUAAGUGAAAAAAAGUGAAAAAUUUAUUCCGACGUUUCGGUUCACAUACAGGAACCUUCCUCAGGUGGGGUACACAGUGCAUAGCAAACAAUACUGAAUUUAAACACAAAAAUGGCGCCAAACAAUCAACCUGUGACAUCAUCAAAAGCGUCAGUGAGUCAUAGUGAGCGUGUAUAAAGAGAUCUAUCCAUGGGGGCUACUUUCCCUUUAAUGUGCAACAAAGGACCACCAAGUGCAGUGUAGGACAACCAUUCGUUACCUCACUUGCCGAGCCGCCAAUUGAACAAGGAGGAGGUGCUGCAUGUAUCGCCCCGAGGAAUAGGCAUCACCCAACCUAGGAUGCACAUAGGCUCAACCCGAAGUUCCACCGUACCUGUCAUCCACCCAAGAUCCCUUCGCAAGGAAGCAGUCCAUACUCGUCAUCAGACUCCUCCGUCCUCAAUGGGCCCAGCUCCAGUCACGGAACUGUCGGCAGACGACCCUCCCCACAUGGUCCAACAAGAGGCCGAAAAAAUCAAUCAAAACGUCACCAUGUAUAACCAAAAAAAUGUACAAAAAAUGCAGAAAAACCAAAAAUCUAAAUAAAGUACAAAAAGUCAAAAAACGA